Molecule: long non-coding RNA, 308 nt
Filed under: Phoenix dactylifera (date palm)
Lineage: Eukaryota; Viridiplantae; Streptophyta; Magnoliopsida; Arecales; Arecaceae
Description: long non-coding RNA (PDAC_LNC000174)
Source: RNAcentral
GUCACGCCCCGGACCCGGAUCCGUGACACGGCCGUGCUAUUGCCGACUACCGCCCACAAUAGCACGCAGCCUCAUACCUGGGUAACAGGGUAGUCAAACCAACCGAAUCUUUUCAUAUGAAAGCAUUCUUAGUACAACAUGCUGGUCAGUACCCAAAUACAGAGCUUCUAUGUAGUUUAUGUACACAAAAGUAUACUUGCUUUACCCCAAAAGAAAGAAGCCCUGAUACCAAAUUAACGUGUCUCUGGCAGCUAUCAGUGGUAAGGAUCUGAAAGAAAAAGUAAAUGAACGGAUAUGAGCUACACGGC